AAGAAAAUGUUUUUGAAAAAUGCAAAUUUUAACAGAUUUAGGGUAUAGAAGUGCAGUUGUGUUCCAUGGAUAUAUUUACAUAGUGAAGUCUGAGCUUUCAGUGUAUCCAUCAUCCAAAUAGGAUACAUUGUCCUCAAUAGGUAGUCUUUCAUCCCUCAACCCUUUCCCAACUUCCCACCUUUUGGAGUCUCCAAUGUCAUUAUUUCAUUCUGUAUCCACAUGUACCCAUUGUUUAGCUCCCACUUAUAAUUGAUAAUAUCUAGCAUUUGGCUUUCUGUUUUUGAGUUAUUUCACUUAAGCCAAUGGCCUCCAGUUCCAUCCAAGUUGUUAUAAAAGACAUGACUUCAGUCUUUUUAUGGGGAAGUAGUAUCACAUUUUAGAAAUCCAAUAGUCCAUUGAUGGACACUCAGGUUGAUUCUAUUUGGGCAUCCCUGUUCUCUUGGGUGCCAGGAGCCCUGCCCUUCUGGGUGCAGUUGCAGGUGCCCAAGCUGUGGCUGUGGAUCCGGGCAUCUCCACACUUUUGUUGUUAAAAUCUGGUGUUCAGGUCUUCUGCUGCAUUUUUUAUUUCCAUCACUGUACUUUGUAUAAAUCUUUCACUUUUUAAAAAUCAAAAACAAGGCCGAGCACGGUGGCUCACACCUGUAAUCCCAGCACUUUGGAAGGCCGAGUCAGGUGGAUCAUGAGGUCAGGAGACCAAGACCAUCCUGGCUAACAAGGUGAAACCCCAUCUCUACUAAAAAUACAAAAAAAUUAGCCAGG
Molecule: long non-coding RNA, 759 nt
Filed under: Pan troglodytes (chimpanzee)
Lineage: Eukaryota; Metazoa; Chordata; Mammalia; Primates; Hominidae
Description: long non-coding RNA NONPTRT014569
Source: RNAcentral